GUCAUGCAGUCACAAGCAGGACGCCUCCAGCUCUGUCACCAUGAGUAUCUACAGCUGUGACUGCACCUAGGGAUAACUUUGACAUGGGACAGUGUAUACUAGCUUAAUGGAUGAUAAAUUGGCUGUUUUUGUGAUGUUACCCAUUACCAGGUGAUGGAGGAGGCCUGACAGAUUUUUUGUGCAUCAAUGUCAUUAUAAUUAUAACUUGAUCUGCUGUGGCAUCGGUCUUGAGAAAGGCCUGUUAACAGGCCGAAACGUCGACAUUAAAGCUACGGUGAUAUUCAACUAUCUAAA
Molecule: long non-coding RNA, 294 nt
Organism: Pseudophryne corroboree (corroboree frog)
Lineage: Eukaryota; Metazoa; Chordata; Amphibia; Anura; Myobatrachidae
Exons: 4
Source: RefSeq, a predicted model, not a curated record